UUUCCACCACUCCCCACCUUUAUUUAUUUGGUCCGCUGGACGGUUGGCUGACAAGUGUUUGAUGAACUAGCUUCAGAUACAAUGCUGCAAAAGGUCAUUCGCCUACUGAUUAUGUUUCUACUUGUAAACGCAGUUGGUAGUUUGCAAAACAAGUGGCAAAAUAGUGUGGUGAUUCGGUGGGGGAGACUAGAAUGAGUAAUUCCUAUGAAGUGUCGGAGUCUUCCUAAGGGUGAGUAGCUUGAGCGGCAGGUGAAGUUGAAUAAAACAAAUUUCCAUCAUCUUCUCUCUGUACUCUUUCUGCAUUUUUCUUCCUCUUGUUGUUCCUCUCCCCUGGGGCAAAUGGAGAGCCAAUAACAUUAUUUUAAAAUAGGACUAUAGUGAAAAUAGAAAGGUGCCAAUGAUAUUUUAUUCACUGGAGUUGCUUGAAAUAUUAAAAUUGGCCCUUUACUUCUUAAUACAUAUUAAUAGGGUGACCCUCUUCAAGGCUUUCUCUUCUAGGACAAGUGUUCAGAAUAACAUCCUGUAAGGGAAACAGUUAAUCAUUCCCCAUCCAACAAGCUUUAACCAUGUUCCAGGAACAUUCACUGGCUGAGAGAGCAGCCUUUGUGGCAUUUUGGUUUUGUGUAAUUUUUGGUUCAUUACAAUAUUUUUUAUUCAUUUAAGGGAAGGUGAAAGGAGAAUAAGGUUUAUGUCUAGGGCGUAAUCCUAAACAUUGUGUCUUAAGCAAACACGUUUUCUUUUAAAAACAUUCAGUAAUACAAAGAAUUACAUUUCCUUUAUUUCAACUUCCAUAGAGAUUAUAAUUAUGAUAGUUGCAAGACAUUUUGGUCAGUUCUGUUAUGAGAAGCAAAAAUAGAGAUUAAUGACAUGUUUAAAAAAUGGAAAAAAAAGGAGAAUGUUUUGCAUGAUUUGUACAUAAAAAGAAAACAAUGUGAGUUUUAGAUCUAUGUCUAUCUUGCACCUAGUAAUUUCUCACAUUAUCUUUGAACACUGUGAUUCUGAUGUUUCUUAGAAAAUCUUGAAGUCAUGAUAUAGUGACAUAAGAAUAAUAGCUGAAAGGGAUAAUUUUAAAAGACUUAAUCCUAAAUGGAAAGGAGCACUCAUUCCCAGGGUCAUUUACAUUCAAGUAGAACACAGGACUGGGUCAGGGAGAAAGCCACCCUUAAUAAAGCACUUCACCCUUCACACUGUUUCCCAUAACCUUCAUAAAUUGCAGGCUACUGAGCCAGCCUGAUGAUGAUCCCGCUGAGGUAUAUUUAUAGCAGAUGAUUUGUGGAUGAUAAAUAUGCCAAGCAAGACACCAUCUCCAGUAACCCCAGGCUGGUCUGACUUCCUCUGGGGGUCAUAAUCAAGAAUCACAAAAAGAACCCUAUAUGGAGAAUCUGGUCUAUGGACCUAACAACAGCACAAUUCCGAAGGCAGACCAAGGAAGAGCCAUCCUGAUUCAUGUCUGCACUAUGUUCCAUGUGAAAGCACCGCUGACACAUUGACCCAACAAUGAAAAGAGCGGCAGUUUACACACUAGGCUCUCUGUGUCCUUUCCUCCCUAUUGAGAUUGGUUUGUUUUUAUGCUUUAAUGCAUUUUUAAAAAUCAGCAUUUCACAUUGUAA
Molecule: long non-coding RNA, 1610 nt
Filed under: Lynx pardinus (Iberian lynx)
Lineage: Eukaryota; Metazoa; Chordata; Mammalia; Carnivora; Felidae
Source: RNAcentral